RNAcentral lists this unclassified non-coding RNA (297 nucleotides) under Hevea brasiliensis (rubber tree). Lineage: Eukaryota; Viridiplantae; Streptophyta; Magnoliopsida; Malpighiales; Euphorbiaceae. The record is from RNAcentral.
UACAUUCACGUAAUAUGCAAAAUUUGGUUAGAUAAAGUACUAAUUAUUCAACACAGAACCUUUAAAAAGAGAGCAGAGCAGAAGUCAACAAUCGGAUAAAGCCUCCUCCUUAAUCUUGCAUCUCCCUCUCCUGGAUGACAUCGUUUUACCCAUAAUUUACCUGCCGAAUUGUAUAUAAUGGCUGUCCAUGAGAAACUGCAUUGUGGUCUCAAAAAUUCUUGAUAAAGAUCUCCGAAUCAAUUUGCUGUACGUUUGGGAAGAUCUGUCUUAGUCUGGCACGAUAGUAGGGAGUCUUUG